CGCUGUGUUGAAAAACAGGGGACGGUGCACCGGAUUGAGCAGUGAACGAUGAAGAAAACGGCUGCGCGGAGAUGUUAUCUUGAA
Non-coding RNA from Helianthus annuus (common sunflower), 84 nucleotides. The record is from Rfam. Lineage: Eukaryota; Viridiplantae; Streptophyta; Magnoliopsida; Asterales; Asteraceae.